RNAcentral lists this long non-coding RNA (1570 nucleotides) under Homo sapiens (human). RNAcentral describes it as "non-protein coding lnc-FSCN1-1:2". Lineage: Eukaryota; Metazoa; Chordata; Mammalia; Primates; Hominidae. The record is from RNAcentral.
AGGCGGCCGCCAUGUUGAAUGUGGCUCCGCCCGGGGAGCUGCUGGAGUACGAGGGAGCCAAGAAGGGCUCCAAGGACCUCUGCCUCUUCUCUGAGCUCGUUCUUAGGCCCCUCUGCCGUCUGCACGCUCCUUUCCAGCCACCCGGCCUCCCGAUGCCGGCCUAGCACGUUCCUCGCGCCAGGCUUUUGCAUCUGCCCUUCCCACUGUCUUUCGUGUGCAAACGCCACAGGUCCUGCGCACCGCACCCCUCAUGGAAUAGCGUCGCCUCCUCUCUACCUUCACACACGCCCCGAAACUUGCCUCUCAUCCUGUGUCUCUAUAGAUUUUUGCACCAUCUGACCGACGAACCCCUACCCUUCCCUAGACCAUGUCACGAUUCCGUCGCAUCCUCUGCCAUUGUCCCUCGGAAUAUUCCUAGAUGGCAUUUAUCACUGUGGAUAGUUACCACUACUCAGCGUUUUGGCUAAGAUCAAGUGUUCCAUCAUCGUGGGUGGCUCAUACGUGUAAUCCCAGUACUUUGGAAGGUGGAGGCAAGAGGACUGCUUGAGGCCAGGAGUUUCAGAUCAGCCCAAGCAAUAUAGCAAGACCUCCAUCUCUACAAAAGAUUUUUAAAAAUUAGCCAGGUGGUGGCAGCAGACGCUUGUGCAGCUAUACGCAAGAUUAAGGCUGGGACUUCCUUGGCAAGAAGCAGGAGCUGCUGAAGUUGCUGGUCAACCUAUGGGUGAAGCUGUCCCAGCUGUGCAUCACCAAUGUCAGCAGUCCCGUCUUUUUGACACCAGGGACCAGUUUCGUGGAAGAUAAUUUUCCCAUGAAUGGGGGCAGGGGGAUGGUUUUGGGAUGAUUCAAGCACAUUACGCUUAUUGCGUACACCAUCUCUAUUAUUACAUUCUAAUAUAUGAUAAAAUAAUUCUACAACUCAUCAUGAUAUAGGAUCAAUGAGAGCCCUGAGCUUCUUUCCCUGCAACUAGAUAGUCGCAUCUGGGGCUGAUGGGAGACAGUGACAGAUCAUCAGGCAUUAGAUGCUCAUAAGGAGUGCACAACCGCCGGGCGUGGUGGCUCACGCCUGUAAUCCCAGCAUUUUGGGAGGCCAAGGCGGGUGGAUCACCUGAGGUCAGGAGUUUAAGACCAGCCUGGCCAACAUGGCAAAACCCUGUAUCUGUGAAAAAUACAAAAACUAACCAGGCGUGGUGACACAUGCCUGUAAUCCCAGCAACUCAGGAGACUGAGACAGGAGAAUCGCUUGAGCUGGAGUGCAGUGGUGCAAUCAUAGCUCACUGCAGCCUUGAGCUCCUGGGCUCAAGUGAUCCUCCCACCUCAGCUUCCCAAAAUGCUGGGAUUACAAGCAUGCGUCACCACAGCAGGCCCAAUUAGAUAAGGUUUGAAGUAUGUCUACACCUGCAAGACCACCACCACAAUCGACAUAAUGAACAUCACCCGAUGCUCGUGUUCAUCAAAGUCUCUGCUCUCUCUUCCUAUGAUCACAGCAUGUCACUGUACACUCAUUUGUUUGCCUUCGUGCUUGUGAUGUCUUCCCCAUUAAACUGGGUGCCUGGUGAGGACACGGAACACA